AAGCGCACGCAGGCGGUCUGUCAAGUCGGAUGUGAAAUCCCCGCCGCUUACCUGGGAACUGCAUUCGAAACUGGCAGGCUAGAGUCCUUUAGAGGGGGGUAGAAUUCCAGGUGUAGCGGUGAAAUGCGUAGAGAUCUGGAGGAAUACCGGUGGCGAAGGCGGCCCCCUGGACAAAGACUGACGCUCAGGUGCGAAAGCGUGGGGAGCAAACAGGAUUAGAUACCCUGGUAGUCCACGCCGUAAACGAUGUCGAUUUGGAGGUUGUGCCCUUGAGGCGUGGCUUCCGGAGCUAACGCGUUAAAUCGACCGCCUGGGGAGUACGGCCGCAAGGUUAAAACUCAAAUGAAUUGACGGGGGCCCGCACAAGCGGUGGAGCAUGUGGUUUAAUUCGAUGUUACGCGAAGAACCUUACCUGGUCUUGACAUCCACAGAACUUUCCAGAGAUGGAUUGGUGCCUUCGGGAACUGUGAGACAGGUGCUGCAUGGCUGUCGUCAGCUCGUGUUGUGAAAUGUUGGGUUAAGUCCCGCAACGAGCGCAACCCUUAUCCUUUGUUGCCAGCGGUUAGGCCGGGAACUCAAAGGAGACUGCCAGUGAUAAACUGGAGGAAGGUGGG
This 614-nucleotide ribosomal RNA is filed under the name Enterobacter cloacae. Its description in RNAcentral is "bacterial SSU rRNA". It matches the Rfam family "Bacterial small subunit ribosomal RNA", at positions 563 to 1177 of the family's 1533-position model. The record is from RNAcentral. Lineage: Bacteria; Pseudomonadati; Pseudomonadota; Gammaproteobacteria; Enterobacterales; Enterobacteriaceae.